RNAcentral lists this ribosomal RNA (350 nucleotides) under uncultured bacterium. RNAcentral describes it as "partial 16S ribosomal RNA". The record is from RNAcentral.
CCCUUCAUGGAGGGGAGUUUCAGACUACAAUCCGAACUGAGAACGGGUUUUGGAUUAUGUCAGCCCUCGACUUGGCUGCCCUUUGUUCCACCCAUUGGAGCACGUGUGUAGCCCUAGGAUAAGGGCAUGAUGAUUUGACAUCUUCCCCACCUUCCUCCCCGUUAUCCCUGGCAGUCCCUCUAGAAUGCCCCACUUAAUGCUGGCACAACAGGAAGGGUUGCGCUCGUUGCGGGACUUAACCCCACAUCUAACGACACUAACUGACCACAACCAUGCACCACCUGUCUCUCGAUCCCCCAAGGGAAAGAAACAAUUAGGAGCGGUCCAAAGGAUGUGUGCUCAGGUUAGGU